Ceratotherium simum simum (southern white rhinoceros) is the source of this 204-nucleotide non-coding RNA. The record is from RefSeq and is a predicted model, not a curated record. NCBI's taxonomy places the organism in Eukaryota, Metazoa, Chordata, Mammalia, Perissodactyla, Rhinocerotidae.
GGGAGAGCCUGGAUGGUGAAGUCCCAGAUGGGUCUGCGGUGCAGAGGCUUCAUGGCAGGCGUCAUCUUCAUAUCAGCCAGGCGCUCCACCGUGGAGCCCCGAGAGGUGUUCCGUGGGAGGCAGAAACCGUGUGACGGAGCCUUCACAUCGUAGACUCAGAAGAUGCAACAUGGUGCCCCCGAGAGGCUUGUCUUGGCUCCCACG